AUUGAACGCUGGCGGCAUGCUUAACACACGCAAGUCGAACGGUAACGCGGGGGUAACCCUGGCGACGAGUGGCGGACGGGUGAGUAAUGCUUAGGAAUCUGCCUGAUAGUGGGGGACAACCCGAGGAAACUCGGGCUAAUACCGCAUACGACCUACGGGAGAAAGCGGGGGACCGCAAGGCCUCGCGCUGUUAGAUGAGCCUAAGCCCGAUUAGCUAGUUGGCGGGGUAAUAGCCCACCAAGGCGACGAUCGGUAGCUGGUCUGAGAGGAUGAUCAGCCACACUGGGACUGAGACACGGCCCAGACUCCUACGGGAGGCAGCAGUGGGGAAUAUUGGACAAUGGGCGCAAGCCUGAUCCAGCAAUGCCGCGUGUGUGAAGAAGGCCUGCGGGUUGUAAAGC
RNAcentral lists this ribosomal RNA (401 nucleotides) under uncultured bacterium. RNAcentral's name for it is "bacterial SSU rRNA". It matches the Rfam family "Bacterial small subunit ribosomal RNA", at positions 29 to 431 of the family's 1533-position model. The record is from RNAcentral.